CCACAUUUAGCUCUUGAGUGGGUAGAUAUAAAAGAAUGUAGGAAUCUCCUUAAAACUGAUAAAUGAUAAAAUUAAGGAGAAACGGGAAGAAGUUAAUUUUAAUUUCUGGCAGGUUGAGGUAGAAAUACUUUUAUGUAUCUUGCUUAGCAUGUGUUGAAGACGUGUAUUUUUUCCUUAUCUAGGAUCGCUGUCAAAUUAUCAACUUGGGAAAUGAGACGUGUGUUGAAUUUUUACACCAGUGACAGCCCAAGGAAGGGAUCGGUGUGGUUUUGGUACCAGGUGACACGGCCGUACUGUGCUUUAGCAGCUGGCUUAGUGAUCUCCAGGGAGCUGGCAGUGGUGGGGACUGGGGCUGAAGACCCGUGAGUCGCGGCUGGGCUCCGGCUCUGUGCAUCACUGUUACAGCAGCAGCUUUUGCAUGGACGGAUGAAUGCCAUUUGAUUCAGCUUGUGCUUUCUCUCUCUUGCAUCAGCAAGGCUCAUGCGCUGGUUGAGAUCUUCUAAAUUCAGCACUUCAAGGAAAAAAAAAAAAUAGGCCAUUUGAGCAACUGUGCGCAGGAGGGCUGUAGUUCUGUUGCUUAGCAGAAAGGCACCAUACGAGGCUGUAGUUGUCCAGAUCUCUCUUCCAGGUUUGCCACGGUACUGUUUCUCAAGGUGUCUUUUCUUUUGAACCUGUGACGAGGAGUGGGAUUGUUCCUUUAGCAGCCCUCGUGUGUCCGAAGCCCGGCUGGUACCCUAUCUCUCACACCUUCUGGUGAGUGCUCGACCUGAGAGCUGAUCUCCUGGCCAUGGUGUCAUCAGGAGGCUGAAGCCCUAGUGUCAGAAAUGGUCUGUUUUGUAGUAAGACAGCCCCAGAUGAGAAAAUUUUAGCCAAAACAAGGAGUGACCUUGUCAUUUGUGCUGGGUGCAGUAAUUUUGCACAUUUUCAUGAAUGUUGCUAACGUGCUAUUGCUGCUGUAUGAACCGGUCCUUGCUUAACUGUAGCACAGCACUAAGCUGUUAAUUAUAGGAGUCAGAGGAGAGGUACAGCUGCAAAUCUGCCCCGUCAGGAUUUAUCAGGCUCCAUUUUGUAAUCAAUGGUUUAUUUAUUAAACCAUCAGAAAAUCAUGCAUGCACUCUGGCCACAACAGCACGCAGCUCUGCUCGGGCAUUUUGUCUGAAUCGAUGGAAGCAAUCAUCUGCUUUACAUCAGGUAUCGAA
RNAcentral lists this long non-coding RNA (1199 nucleotides) under Anser brachyrhynchus (Pink-footed goose). Its description in RNAcentral is "lncRNA (ENSABRG00000003674.1)". The record is from RNAcentral. Lineage: Eukaryota; Metazoa; Chordata; Aves; Anseriformes; Anatidae.